UACCAGCUCUCCGAGUGGUGUGGAUGUUUAUUGGGCCUAAAGCAUCCGUAGCUGGCUGGACAAGUCCCCUGUUAAAUCCACCGAUUUAAUCGUUGGAGUGCGGGGGAUACUGUUCGGCUAGGGGACGGGAGAGGCAGACGGUAUUUUCGGGGUAGGGGUGAAAUCCUAUAAUCCCGGGAAGACCACCAGUGGCGAAGGCUGUCUGCUAGAACGCGCCCGACGGUGAGGGAUGAAAGCUGGGGGAGCGAACCGGAUUAGAUACCCGGGUAGUCCCAGCUGUAAACGAUGCAGGCUAGGUGUUUGGGCGGCCACGUGCCGCUCUAGUGCCGCAGGGAAGCCGUUAAGCCUGCCGCCUGGGGAGUACGGCCGCAAGGCUGAAACUUAAAGGAAUUGGCGGGGAGCACCACAAGGGGUGAAGCUUGCGGUUU
Molecule: ribosomal RNA, 428 nt
Filed under: uncultured archaeon
Lineage: Archaea
Description: bacterial SSU rRNA
Rfam family: Archaeal small subunit ribosomal RNA
Source: RNAcentral